This 330-nucleotide long non-coding RNA is filed under the name Homo sapiens (human). RNAcentral's name for it is "HSALNT0073588". Lineage: Eukaryota; Metazoa; Chordata; Mammalia; Primates; Hominidae. The record is from RNAcentral.
AUAAGGGGAGAGAGUAAGAAAGCAAUGAGAUACACAUGUCUUGACUGCUUCUCUUCAUGCUGAAAUCCUGGGGGAAAGAAGUGCUAAAUCAGUUGAGGACAUGGGAACAUUUAUUCUGGCAUACUCGGCAAUUAUUCCAAAUAAUACAAAAUGAUUUACCAAAUAGGAAGAAAUUUGGGUACAGAGACAGACAAGCACCAAGAGAAGAUGAUGUGAAGAAGCACAGCGAGAACACCAUGUGAAAAUGGAGGACUGGAAUGAAGCAUCUACAAGCCAGGAAAUGUCUGAGGCUACCAGAAGCCAGGAGAGAGGCCUGGAACAGAUCCUGCA